Molecule: ribosomal RNA, 468 nt
Filed under: uncultured bacterium
Lineage: Bacteria
Description: bacterial SSU rRNA
Rfam family: Bacterial small subunit ribosomal RNA
Source: RNAcentral
UAGGGAAUAUUGGACAAUGGGUGAGAGCCUGAUCCAGCCAUGCCGCGUGCAGGAAGAAGGCGUUAUGCGUUGUAAACUGCUUUUUGCCAGGGGAUAAAAAGACCGUGCGCGGUUAAUUGAAGGUACCUGGUGAAUAAGCCACGGCUAACUACGUGCCAGCAGCCGCGGUAAUACGUAGGUGGCAAGCGUUGUCCGGAUUUAUUGGGUUUAAAGGGUGCGUAGGUGGCCCUGUAAGUCAGUGGUGAAAUAUCUCAGCUUAACUGAGAGGGUGCCAUUGAUACUGCAGGGCUUGAGUACAGAUGAGGUAGGCGGAAUUGACGGUGUAGCGGUGAAAUGCAUAGAUAUCGUCAAGAACACCGAUAGCGAAGGCAGCUUACCAAGCUGUAACUGACACUGAGGCACGAAAGUGUGGGGAUCGAAACAGGAUUAGAUACCCAAGUAGUCCCUGAGCGGGCUGGCAAGGCGCAU